RNAcentral lists this small RNA (820 nucleotides) under Pan troglodytes (chimpanzee). RNAcentral's name for it is "processed transcript". The record is from RNAcentral. Lineage: Eukaryota; Metazoa; Chordata; Mammalia; Primates; Hominidae.
AGCCUUUGAUCACCUUGGAGGGAAGCAUAUCCUUCAGAUUUACUUCGGAAGGAAUGAAUACCAUCACAGUGCAGGUCUCAGCUGGGAAUGCCAUCCUACAAGAUACAAAGACCAUCGCAGUAUAUGAGGAAUUCCGGUCUCUUCGCUUGUCCUUUUCUCCAAACCUGGAUGACUACAACCCGGACAUCCCUGAGUGGAGGAGGGACAUCGGCCGAGUCAUCAAAAAAUCCCUGGUGGAAGCCACAGGGGUUCCAGGCCAGCACAUCCUGGUGGCGGUGCUCCCUGGCUUACCCACCACUGCUGAACUCUUUGUCCUACCCUAUCAGGAUCCAGCUGGAGAAAACAAAAGGUCAACUGAUGACCUGGAGCAGCUCCAUGUUCCUUUCCAUGAAGAUGCCAGCACUGACACCUAAGAUGUGUUCUGCUAGAAAAGAUAGUAAGAAACAAGCAACUUUACCAAAAUAGUGUUCACAGCAUAUAUAAUGUCCUUUAGAAUAUAUGUAACAACUUGUAAUCUUUUGAAAAAAUACAGGAUAAACACUUCUACAAGUGGUGUGGAAAACAUCUAAAAUAUUGUCAAAAUCUGUCAACAGUUUCAUACUCAUUUCAGUAGAAAAGCACAUGGUUCUAAUUGAGAUUAUUCUUAUAUGCAAUGUAAAUUUUAUUUAGUUUUGUUUUCUUAUGCAAAUUUUUUCUCACAAAGCAUGUGUUCAUUGUUGAAUGUCCUUUGAUGCAAGUUAAAUAUAUGAAACAUACUUUCUGUUACCAGAUAAUUUUUAAAUUUCCUUCUUAAAAUUUUGUAAGUGACACAGAUAGAGCC